UACGUAGGGUGCAGGCGUUAAUCGGAAUUACUGGGCGUAAAGCGUGCGCAGGCGGUCUCUUAAGUCAGAUGUGAAAUCCCCGGGCUUAACCUGGGAACUGCGUUUGAAACUGGGAGACUCGAGUAUGUCAGAGGGGGGUGGAAUUCCACGUGUAGCAGUGAAAUGCGUAGAGAUGUGGAGGAACACCGAUGGCGAAGGCAGCCCCCUGGGAUAAUACUGACGCUCAUGCACGAAAGCGUGGGGAG
This 245-nucleotide ribosomal RNA is filed under the name uncultured bacterium. Its description in RNAcentral is "partial 16S ribosomal RNA". It matches the Rfam family "Bacterial small subunit ribosomal RNA", at positions 524 to 768 of the family's 1533-position model. The record is from RNAcentral.